RNAcentral lists this unclassified non-coding RNA (2058 nucleotides) under Zea mays. RNAcentral describes it as "misc RNA Zm00001eb387420". The record is from RNAcentral. Lineage: Eukaryota; Viridiplantae; Streptophyta; Magnoliopsida; Poales; Poaceae.
GUCAGCCCGGCGGGGAAGGACCAAACGUGAACCGCCGCUUGGCCCUCUAUUUAAUGAGCACCACCAGUCACUAGACACAGCGCCCGCAGGCCGCAGCUGCAGUCUGCAGAGCACAGCCGUGCGCGGUUUGCAACCGUACCAGCACAAGCACCCCAGGCGGGCAGGAAACAAGCCUCCUCCGCUGCUCCGCCGCAAUGGCGUCCCCGCGCGGCCAUCGCCGGGCCAGCGUGCUGCAGAAGGCGGCGGCGCUCCUCCUGCUCGCCCUGUCCUGCUGCGGCUGCACCGGUGCCGGCGCCGGUCCAUCGGCGCCAACCCCGAAGGUGCCGGCGGUGAUCGUGUUCGGGGACUCGACGGUGGACACGGGCAACAACAACGCGAUCGGGACCAUCCUGAAGAGCAACUUCCCGCCGUACGGGCGCGACAUGGCCGGCGGGGCCCAGCCCACGGGGCGGUUCUGCAACGGGCGCCUGCCGCCGGACUUCAUCUCCGAGGCGCUCGGCCUGCCGCCGCUGGUCCCGGCCUACCUCGACCCCGCCUACGGCAUCCAGGACUUCGCCCGCGGCGUCUGCUUCGCCUCCGCAGGCACCGGCCUCGACAACAAGACCGCCGGCGUCCUGUCAGUGAUCCCGCUGUGGAAGGAGGUGGAGUACUUCAAGGAGUACAAGCGGCGGCUCCGGCGACACGUGGGGCUCGCCGGUGCCCGUCGCAUCGUCUCCGACGCGCUGUACGUGGUGAGCGUCGGCACCAACGACUUCCUGGAGAACUACUUCCUGCUGGUGACGGGGCGGUUCGCGGAGUUCACGGUGGGCGAGUUCGAGGACUUCCUGGUGGCGCAGGCGGAGUGGUUCCUGGGCGAGAUCCACCGGCUGGGCGCGCGGCGGGUCGCCUUCGCGGGGCUCAGCCCCAUCGGCUGCCUGCCCCUGGAGCGCACGCUCAACACGCUCCGCGGCGGCUGCGUCGAGGAGUACAACCAGGUGGCCCGGGACUACAACGCCAAGGUGCUCGACAUGCUCCGCCGGCUCACGGCGGCGCGGCCGGGGCUGAGGGUCGCCUACAUCGACGUGUACCAGAACAUGCUGGACCUCAUCACCGACCCUUCCACGCUGGGUACGUGACUGAGUGUCCCUCCAGGAGUUGGCAAUUGCAAUGCCAUGCCACCUGAUCUGACCUGGCCUGGAUGGACGACUGGCAGGGCUGGAGAACGUGGAGGAGGGGUGCUGCGCCACGGGGAAGGUGGAGAUGUCGUACCUGUGCAACGAGAAGAGCCCCGACACAUGCGACGACGCGGACAGGUACUUCUUCUGGGACUCCUUCCACCCCACCCAGAAGGUGAACCAGUUCUUCGCCAAGAAGACGCUGGACCUGUGCUACGACCAGCUCCUGCUGUGAUGCUGAUGAUGCGCCCUAGAGCUCAGUGUGGCUACGUUUAGUCCACACUCCACAGUCAAAAUUGUUGCUGCUAAUUCGUCUCCGUGUGUAUAGCAUAGCUAGCAUUCGAUGUGAUGUAUGUAGUAGUAUAUGGUUGCUGUGCCUGUCUCGAUGCGUCGAUCGAUGGAUUCACGAUUCUUUUGGGCUUAAAUGCUCAUAAGGGAGAUAAAAUUUACACAUUUGACGCGAGUUACAAUUGGUUCCGGCCGGAGCCGGACGUCUUUUAUGCCAUUUGUUUGUGACAGAGAGAUCGAUGGAUGUAGUAUAUACUGCUAGUAGUAGUUCCUAGGCUCUUGGUGGAGUGAUUGAUUAAACAAGCAGAGCAGAGAGAAACAAGCAGCUGCAAUGCAACAGUUCAGUUACGGAUGGCGCCGGAGAUGGAUCACGCAUUCACCGUUCUGGACAAGUUGUUGGUGAUGCAGCCCAUCCUGAAGAUCUUGGCGAAGGAGCGCCAGAGCCUGAGCUCCUGGUGCGCCAUCAUCGUCGGCAUCCCCUCCUUCACGCAGUGGUCGUACUUCUCCAGCACCGACACAAUGUAGCUGAAUUCCGGCCGCCGCGCCGGGUUCGCCGACCAGCACUUCUUGAUCAGGCUGUUGAGCACCGGCGGGCACGAGCUCGACAGCGGCGGGC